GCGGAUCGCAAGGGGAAAAGACCCCGGAAGUACGCCAAAGUAUAAAACCUCAGGUUAAAAGGUCAAAACUAGUACUUGUCCUUCAAGUCGCCCACUUGGCCCUCUUCCAGAUCAUAUGAAGUGUGCGUAUGGUACCUAUUGGAGCUAUCUUGAGCCCAUAUAAAGAGUAAGCUUUAGAAUGACGGCGACUCACAGAGAAAGCUAAGAAUCAUCAGAAAAUGAAAAUCGAUGUCUCUGAAGUCUCUCUUCAGCCAGGAGGCUUUUCCUAUUGAAGCACUCUGGGGCACAUUGAUUUCUCCUAUGUUUUAACUUCAAACAUGGCAUCAUCUGAAACCUAUAUUUUGAUUAUGGGUUUGUCUGCAAGGUUUUUUUCAAAUUGGCACAAAUUUCCAAAAAGGUUUCUGAAAUAUUUAUUGAAAAAAAAUCCACAUAUCAUUGGAGCCACACCAAUCAAACCUGUGUUGUUCAAGGGUCAACUGUAUUCUCUAAAGUCUCAAUUCAUGAACUCAAUGCUUUCAUUUGCAGUAGUUUAUCUACUUUGUAAAAUAUAUCUUUUUGAGGAAAUAAACAUGUAUACUUAAAUUCAUCUCACCAA
This 595-nucleotide long non-coding RNA is filed under the name Homo sapiens (human). RNAcentral describes it as "HSALNT0376792". Lineage: Eukaryota; Metazoa; Chordata; Mammalia; Primates; Hominidae. The record is from RNAcentral.